RNAcentral lists this transfer RNA (66 nucleotides) under Fascioloides magna. RNAcentral's name for it is "tRNA-Arg". Lineage: Eukaryota; Metazoa; Platyhelminthes; Trematoda; Plagiorchiida; Fasciolidae. The record is from RNAcentral.
GGUUUGAUAUCCUUGUGGGGUUACGUUUCGGCCGUAAUUAUUGGAGUUUUUUCUUCUAUCAAAGGU